GAACUUUUGUGUUACUUGUACAUGUGGAUUAUACAAACAGGUACUUACGUUUUUGGGAGGUAUAGUCGAAUUUAAACCCAAUCACAUUGUAUGUUUUUAUCAAGUCAAUCAAACAAAAUAUUUGUUUUACCUCAAUUUUAUUAGGGGACUCACGUGUUUGUUUAAUCUGACUUCUUAGUGACCAGUAUUGUAAGUGAAUCCUGUAAUCCCCAUCAGCCAUAAUGGUGCUUUAUCACUUUCACUGUUUACGAACUUUCAUUUAGUUAACCAUGUGUCAACUAGCUACAUACUCC
RNAcentral lists this long non-coding RNA (293 nucleotides) under Mytilus galloprovincialis (Mediterranean mussel). The record is from RNAcentral. Lineage: Eukaryota; Metazoa; Mollusca; Bivalvia; Mytilida; Mytilidae.